ACCUGGUUGGCUCAGUUGAUAGAGUGCAUGACUCUUGAUCUCAGGAUCGUGGGUUCAAGCCCCAUAUUGGGUA
RNAcentral lists this transfer RNA (73 nucleotides) under Felis catus (domestic cat). It matches the Rfam family "tRNA". Rfam says of the family: Transfer RNA (tRNA) molecules are approximately 80 nucleotides in length. Their secondary structure includes four short double-helical elements and three loops (D, anti-codon, and T loops). Further hydrogen bonds mediate the characteristic L-shaped molecular structure. tRNAs have two regions of fundamental functional importance: the anti-codon, which is responsible for specific mRNA codon recognition, and the 3' end, to which the tRNAs corresponding amino acid is attached (by aminoacyl-tRNA synthetases). tRNAs cope with the degeneracy of the genetic code in two manners: having more than one tRNA (with a specific anti-codon) for a particular amino acid; and 'wobble' base-pairing, i.e. permitting non-standard base-pairing at the 3rd anti-codon position. The record is from Rfam by way of RNAcentral. Lineage: Eukaryota; Metazoa; Chordata; Mammalia; Carnivora; Felidae.